This is a long non-coding RNA of Mus musculus (house mouse), 671 nucleotides long. RefSeq annotates it as predicted gene, 54223. The transcript has 3 exons. The record is from RefSeq and is a predicted model, not a curated record. NCBI's taxonomy places the organism in Eukaryota, Metazoa, Chordata, Mammalia, Rodentia, Muridae.
GCUUCUGUGAGAAGGGUCAGGAGAAAAAGGAAAACUGUCACUUUCAAGCUAACGAGCUUCUAGUCUCUCCACCAGGGACUGAACUCCAGGCUUGGCAAGGGGACAUCCACCUGCUGAGUCACUUCAUUAAACCACUAACCCACCGCUGCACUGAAUUCUUUUCCAGCAGAAGUGCCUGGGGCUCUGCCGCGCUUCCUUGACGGUUACUCCUGUGCUCAAACUCCGCCCGCCCAGACCUGCGCUGCACGCUCGCCCUCGCGGCUUCCCACCUGCACGCGCACAGCCUCCUCCUCGGCCAGGCCCACCGGGUGGCGGCGGUACGCACCCAGAACCCGGCAGAGCGCCCACACGGAGCGGCCACAGCGGCGACAGAAGAGCUCAUGUCCACCCAAUGGCACUUCCCUGGGGAAGUGCUUGCGUGGCUUCCUGCCCCAAGUUCUAUUUUCUGGCUCUCACUGGCCACCACCCUGGGCUCCCUAGUAUGAUAUGUAGUACAUUGCAGUGCUACUAUCCUACCCCUGACCAACCAGGCAACUAACUCAUCCAGAUGCGGCGAGGAUCUGAUUUCUGACUUGGCUCACGGUACAAGCCAUGGCGCUGAGUGCUGAGCGAACGUCCCUCCCGCGUCCUUGACUCUGGUUGGGGAGUUGCCCUAGCAGAAGCGGUAAAGA